GGCCGUGUUAGGCUUCGCUGGCGUAAAGUCCCCGGGAGCUUUGCCCCUCACGGAGAACGUUAGUUGACCCUGAUGGGGACCCGUAGGGUAAAGGUUUUGUUUUUGUUUUUUUUUACGGAAAAGGUUGUGGUUAGGCCCCUUGGAAAGUUGCGACAAAACUCGAGUUAGACAAGGAAGGUCGGAACUAAGUGGCCACAGCAACAAUGCACCAGCAAGCAGGGAGCGUGAUAGGAAGAGCUAAAGAGGAAUCGGGAAACCCUGGGGUCUCACCGCCGUCGCCCAGGCCGGAUGGAGUGCAGUGGCGCGAUCACGGCUCACUGCAGCCUCGACUUCCCAGGCUCAGAGAUGGGUUUCACCAUGUUUCCCAGCCUUGUCUCAAACUCCUGACCUCAAGUGAUCCGCCGUCUUGGGUCUUCGAAAGUGCUGGGACAGCAGGAGUGAGCCACCGCAUCUGGCCCGGAAAGUGUUUUGGAGCGUAGAAAAAUGCAAAUUAUAGGGCUGCCUUCAAGGAUCCCGAAGGACCCACAGAUUUGCCGCAUCAGGCUCCUAUGCACGCCGGUAAUUUGAUGUGUUGAGAUGCACUGCCCAGUGCGUUGUUUUUACUGGAGGAGCUUGUGUGCGGAGCUCCUUGCUAGUGUAUGUGUUGGGAUGGGAGAGAAGUGCGGGAGAACUAUGAGAUAAUGCCCCCUGAUCCUCAGGGUCUUAGGAGGUAUGGUCGGAGAGGCUAAGCUAAAGUAUGAAAGCCGUGUGUAGGCCCUUCUGUGUAGUGCAGAAAAGGUAGAGGUAUGUGAUUUGAAAGAGUAGGGAUGACAUGGAGGAUGCGACUCCUGGUUGGAUCUAUAAACUAAUGUCUUUGGAACGAAAGCACAUGCAACCUUUUGAAAAUGGAUGGGUGAUAAUGAAAGACCAUUCCAGAGAAGAAACACCAUGGUGCAAAGGCUCAAGAGGCAUACUGGAAGUACAAUGAAGAGAGCAAUCUAACUGAAAUGGGAAAAAAAGAAACAAAGAGUAAAAAGUAAGAUUUGAUGAGAAAGAUGGAAUCGAUUUUUAAAUUUUUUUAUCUACACAACAAAAUUUAUUAUCUUAACCAUUUUUGAGUGAAUAAUUCGUUAGUAUUAAGUAUAUUUACCUCGUGCGGCCAGUCUCCAGAAUUCUUUUCAUCUUGCAAAACAAACCCCGAACCCAUUAAACAAUUUCUCAUUCGCCAUUUUCCAGCUAGCCUUGGUAACCUCCAUUCUAGUUCUGUCUCUGUGAAUUUGACUGUGUACCCCGUGUAAGUGGUAUCAUACAGUAUUUGUAUUUUUGUGACUGGCAUAUUUCACAUAGCAUAAUCUCCUUGUGGUUUAUCCAUCUUGUAGCAUGUGUCAGAAUUUCCUUCCCUUUUAAGACUAAAUAAUAUUCCAUUGUGUGU
RNAcentral lists this long non-coding RNA (1411 nucleotides) under Homo sapiens (human). RNAcentral's name for it is "non-protein coding NIFK-AS1:3". Lineage: Eukaryota; Metazoa; Chordata; Mammalia; Primates; Hominidae. The record is from RNAcentral.